GCCGACGUAGCCCAACUGGAAGGAGGCAGCACGCUCAGACCGUGAACAGUGUCCGUUCGAAUCGGACCGUCGGUA
RNAcentral lists this transfer RNA (75 nucleotides) under Myxococcales bacterium. RNAcentral describes it as "tRNA-Leu". It matches the Rfam family "tRNA". From Rfam's summary of the family: Transfer RNA (tRNA) molecules are approximately 80 nucleotides in length. Their secondary structure includes four short double-helical elements and three loops (D, anti-codon, and T loops). Lineage: Bacteria; Pseudomonadati; Myxococcota; Myxococcia; Myxococcales. RNAcentral also lists the same sequence under 1 other name. The record is from RNAcentral.